RNAcentral lists this long non-coding RNA (545 nucleotides) under Mytilus galloprovincialis (Mediterranean mussel). Lineage: Eukaryota; Metazoa; Mollusca; Bivalvia; Mytilida; Mytilidae. The record is from RNAcentral.
UGGGGUUCUUUUAUUAUCUAAUCAGAAACGAAUUGCGGUCAAGUGACCUCACACGACUUUUCUGUUCCUCGUGCUUAGACAAUAUUUUUUUGAAGUGUUUCGAAAAUUUGGAUUAUUAAUUUCGAUAUGGUUUUGAAAGCUUGGAGUAAUAUUGCGAAAAGGUAAGUUGGAGUGUAAAUAUAUUUUUCAUAGUUGCACUUUCAAUCUUUAUUAAAUUUGUUAUUGAUUUGACCCAAAUAAGUACCGUGUCGUGACCUUUACCCGUUUACCUGCCAAAGUUUGUAAACAAUGUACACAAAUUUAGCGUACAAGUGUUGAUGUACCUAUAUAUAUUGACACACACACACACACACACACACACACACACACACACACACACACUAAUAUAUCUGAAUUACCCACAUUAACAUUCAUAGUAAUAAUUAUUGUACAAACAAACUUCUGCACAUACAGUCAUACUUGUUCAACAUGAUACUUUUUUACACACAAAUUCCUUUCCAUAACUUUCACACAUACUUAUACCAUAGGCAUAGCACUUACAGAUG